ACACUUGGUGGGUGCGUUGGUUUACCAUCUCCCCAAGUGGGAGAGUGGACGUCAUAAUUUGUGGUAGAGGGGGUACGCGUUCGCGCGGCCCCUGCUU
This 97-nucleotide small nuclear RNA is filed under the name Zea mays. RNAcentral's name for it is "Zm_94". It matches the Rfam family "U1 spliceosomal RNA", at positions 68 to 166 of the family's 166-position model. Rfam says of the family: U1 is a small nuclear RNA (snRNA) component of the spliceosome (involved in pre-mRNA splicing). Its 5' end forms complementary base pairs with the 5' splice junction, thus defining the 5' donor site of an intron. Lineage: Eukaryota; Viridiplantae; Streptophyta; Magnoliopsida; Poales; Poaceae. The record is from RNAcentral.